UUCCGGUUGAUCCUGCCAGAGGUUACUGCUAUCGAGGUUCGACUAAGCCAUGCGAGUCGAAUGUAGCAAUACAUGGCGUACUGCUCAGUAACACGUGGACAACCUACCCUCCGGACGGGUAUAAACCCGGGAAACUGGGUAUAAUCCCCGAUAGAUCUCGACUGCUGGAAUGCAUCGAGAUCGAAAGCUCCGGCGCCAGAGGAUGGGUCUGCGGCCUAUCAGGUAGUAGUGGGUGUAGCGUACCUACUAGCCUACGACGGGUACGGGUUGUGAGAGCAAGAGCCCGGAGAUGGAUUCUGAGACACGAAUCCAGGCCCUACGGGGUGCA
This 328-nucleotide ribosomal RNA is filed under the name uncultured Methanosaeta sp. RNAcentral describes it as "bacterial SSU rRNA". It matches the Rfam family "Archaeal small subunit ribosomal RNA", at positions 1 to 334 of the family's 1478-position model. Lineage: Archaea; Methanobacteriati; Methanobacteriota; Methanomicrobia; Methanotrichales; Methanotrichaceae. The record is from RNAcentral.